RNAcentral lists this ribosomal RNA (443 nucleotides) under uncultured Leptotrichia sp. RNAcentral's name for it is "bacterial SSU rRNA". It matches the Rfam family "Bacterial small subunit ribosomal RNA", at positions 338 to 795 of the family's 1533-position model. Lineage: Bacteria; Fusobacteriati; Fusobacteriota; Fusobacteriia; Fusobacteriales; Leptotrichiaceae. The record is from RNAcentral.
CCUACGGGAGGCAGCAGUGGGGAAUAUUGGACAAUGGGGGCAACCCUGAUCCAGCAAUUCUGUGUGCACGAAGAAGGUUUUCGGAUUGUAAAGUGCUUUCAGCAGGGAAGAAGAAAGUGACGGUACCUGCAGAAGAAGCGACGGCUAAAUACGUGCCAGCAGCCGCGGUAAUACGUAUGUCGCGAGCGUUAUCCGGAAUUAUUGGGCAUAAAGGGCAUCUAGGCGGCCCUGUAAGUCUAGGGUGAAAACCUGCGGCUCAACCGCAGGCCUGCCCCGGAAACUACAGGGCUAGAGUGCUGGAGAGGUGGACGGAACUGCACGAGUAGAGGUGAAAUUCGUAGAUAUGUGCAGGAAUGCCGAUGAUGAAGAUAGUUCACUGGACGGCAACUGACGCUGAAGUGCGAAAGCUAGGGGAGCAAACAGGAUUAGAUACCCUUGUAGUC